Long non-coding RNA from Dasypus novemcinctus (nine-banded armadillo), 2126 nucleotides. NCBI's taxonomy places the organism in Eukaryota, Metazoa, Chordata, Mammalia, Cingulata, Dasypodidae. The record is from Ensembl.
CCCCAUCUCCAGAGUUUGUAAUCUAGUAGUUCUGAGGCGGGGCACAAACACUUGCAUUUCUGACAAGGUCUAAGAACCACACUUUGUGAACUCCUGCCUCAAACCAUAAACAGAAAUAAUGUAUAGGUGGCUUCUCUCAGUGUUGGUCUUCUCUUUGGCCAGGUCAAAAGUAUCACCAGGCAAAAAUAAUUAUCACAUGUCAACUUCCUCUACCCCAAAGCAGAACUGAAGAAGAGAAGGGUGGAUGAAAAGAGAAAGAAACAUGCAAGGUGCAUCUCAUUUUCAAAAGUAGUGAGAGUAAGAAGAAAGCAAUCCUUCAGAGGAGGCUCUGAAGAGACAUGGCCAAAAUGAAGGUAGAGCAGUGGGGUUGAGAGGGGAAGGAGACUUCUGGGGAGAGAGAUGCUAGGAUCUAGCUCUACUUUGUGAAAGAAGUGGGGGGCAGGGAGAAUAAAAUAAUUUUUUGUAAAGGAACCGUUCAGUGAGUCUCCUUCCUAUCAUUUGAGAACUGAGUUAUUGCGAAGCUUUGUUUUGGCAGAAGCAUACAUAAUCUUCUGUGGAAAAUGCAACAGGAGGAGAAUGAAGCACAUGGAUCAAGAUUUUAUAAGCAUCAAAUGACUCAAUAAAGUUUAUCAUCAUGGAGAAGUCACAUAGGACUUCUGCAUUCAUCUCACACCGAAAGGGAUUGAUUCCCAGUACCAGGAAUAUUUCGGAAUAGAUUUCAGGAUAAACUACUCCUUUGGCAAACCUUAAAGCAUCUUCUGCAUUUCCCGGCUGCCUCGGCAGAUGGCGCAAUUGAACCACACGGUGCGCGGCAGCGCAGCUGGCCGGAACCUGCCCUGGGCAGCCGUCCUGGGCUGCUUUCAUGACCUACAAACCUGCCUUCCUCUUGAAUGUCCGACGAGAACAGCCGUCCUUGCAGAGGGCAGCACAACAGUGAUGUCACAGUACAGUCUGAGGUGUCCCUUAAAUACCCAGCUCCCUGGAGGCUCCUAUAGAGGCGAAGUCUGUCGUUUUCUGUUUGGGGCAAUCAAGACGGUGUCUGCUGCUUUUCUGCCAGGUCUCAGGCACCCUUCAAAGACGACCAACCCUGACGGGAGAAGUAAAUCAGAUCAAGGAGUUCAGGAGCCAACACAAAAGAAACUUCCCUGAGAUCAGUGUAGGAGAUGUGGAGUUCCCAGCUACUCCAAAACCUGAAUGUGUUUCUGUUUUCAAGUCAAGAAAAUAAAGGUCCUAUUCAAGAAUCCACAGUGGCUAUUUCAACAAUGACCAAGCCCAAUGAAUUAUGAUCAAAGGUCAAGAAAAAUAUUGGUUCUUACAUCAGCAUAAUGGAUUAUUUGCUUUAAGAAAAAAAGCUUAGUAUAAUAUUAAUGGAAACAUUCUGCAAGUCUUAUGAAGAAAUUUUUUGUUCCAAAUAAUAUGCUCGUCUUUGACAAUUGAUGAAGAGAUUAAAUACACACAAAUUAUUUGAUGGAGUUACAUGGACUUGAUAUACAAAAAGACAUUUUUUUCCCAUUCCUGGUGUUUUCUACAAGAGCCGCAUGUAUUUGAUGUCUCUGGUCCAAAUAUUACACUCUUAAACAUUCAGAAAUGUGUAGAGUAGACCUGCUAUGUCAAAACUGUUACCCUUAAAAUAUCAUCUGUUAAGCUAUGAAUAUAAAAUAUAUGAAUUGAUGCAAAAAUAUAUGCAUGGAUACAUCUUGGUGCUUCUCCAAGGUAUAGAAGACUUUUAGCUUCAUUUCACAAAUGGUUGUUAAUAAUACCAUCCUUCUCCUACUCUCUUGCAAAGCAUUGUUUAUAUAUUUACCCCUUAUACUUGUUAUCUCAUUUCACGCUCACAGAUGGGUUUUAUUGACUCCAUUGAACAAACAAAUCUAAGGCUGAGAAAAUUUGAGUAACCUGCCCAGGGUGGAGGUGGGAUUUAUUUGAACCCAAGUCCCAUACUCUUUGCACUGAGCCUCCACACUCGCUGGAUGGGUGUGUAUAAUUUCAGGUUUUGAAAGAGCAAGCUUUAUGGUUUUGUUUGCCUUUACAUUUUUUCCCAGCUGGAAAGCCCUUACCCUGCCUAAAGCAACCUAAGGUUUAGAAAUAAACUUCUGCCAGUCUUUUAUGUAGUGACCUCGCUCCCG